ACAAGAUUUCUUGGCAAAUCCUUCAUGGUAUUAGGACCUUGCUUGUUGCAGGUGAAAUGCACUCUCAUUAUAUGAAAAUUGUGAUUUCAAAUGAAGAUUUGAAGACUACAAAUUCAACUCUGAUCAACUAAUUGUGGUCUUUCCUUUUACAAAUUCUCUUUCACUUCUGGCAAAGAUAUGCAAAUAAUGUUGGAAAACUGUGAGAUUUUUUUGGUCUGAGAACAUGGAGCAAAGAAUAUGGAGAAUAAGGCGUUGAAUUCUGACUGCUAUUUUGUUAUAUAAGAAGGCAUUUUAUUGAUUUUUUUCAGCCAAAUCUGCAAUCAGCUUGGAGUUGGAAAUUUCUUCCUGUGGCAUUGAAGUUUAUAAAAAAAUUUGCUAUUUUUUCCAGCAAGCAUUUCAACAUACAGGUACAUUUGGUUUUCUUAAGCCAUUUUCAGGAGUCUCAUUGACAUAAAUAGAAUAUUUUUCAGUAGGAGUGGAAUAUUUUGACGUCUAAAACAUUUUUUGAAAAUUCAUACGAGAUCAAAUGGACAAGCGAAAAGGCAUUAAAUUAUUGAGAGUAGAAAAAAAAAAUUGAAAAUUCAAAUCACUAUUUGUAUUUGUUUUUAUUUUGAAUUGUCUUUGCCUUAGUUUGUGCAUAAAUGUUUUGUCAUUGACAUAAGUCCUUCAUUGUAAAGAGGAGUGUGAAACUAUUUUCCCUUCCUCAAACUUGCAAAAGAAAAUUUGCAUUUUUUUUUAAGUUAUUUUGUAAAAGUUAUAAUGCACUAUAUUAUAAAGUGUCAGAUUUGAGGGGAGGAUUUCUAUUGAAUCAAGGGGAAAGUUUAUGUGUUGAAUACCCUUAAUAUUUCUUCUAUAUUCAAUUUUAGUUACAGCAAAUAACUCAGAACAUGAACCAAAACAAUCCUCUUUUAACUCCAUUUAACUAUCAUAAAUGGAAAGGUAAAGUUCUAAUUUAAGAAAAGAACAAAGACCUCAAUAGAGUCACAAUAGGGGUAGAAAAAGAGUUAAUUGAUGAUAAUGCUGAAGUUAAAUAGUAUAAUAAAUGUGAUUAAGUCUUUGACUUCUUGUGUCUAUAUGUGUCUUCACCAUUUCUCAACUUUGAACACUCGAAGUUUGAGAUAUUCUUGAAAAAUUCUUUAAGAAGCAAGAGGUCAUGAGUUGGAGAAUGAGCUAAUUAAUUUGAGCACCAUUUCAUUUGACACUUUAGAAUAGUUCUCCAACAAAUUCAAAUCACUACCGUCACAGGCCACAGCUCAAGAAAUGUGGAAUAGACAAAAAGGAUAAUCAACUAGUUCUCUCCAUUCUCACCAUUCUCUCCAUUCUCUAAGCUUGGCCUUUAUUAUUCAGUGUUUGUCACAACUUUUUACUCCACCAAAAGUGCUAUGGGAACCACUUGAAAAAUGCCCUCUUUAGACCUAGAUUUUUGUGUUUUAACAGAAGUUUGUAGCUGCUUCAACUCAAAUAUCCCAUGAACUCUCUACAAGAUCUGCUGCAAAAUUUAGAAACCGAAGUAAAUUCUAAAAGUGAUUGUUUGAAGAUAUUGAAUGUUAUAAAAGAGAAAUUGGAAGGGAAUGGCUAAGAAUUACCAGAGGAAUGGAAGAAUAAAAUAGCUCAGUUUUUCAAGUCAUAUAAACCUGCAUUCUGCCCCUCCUGCAAAUCUUCAGAGAAAUGCAUUUUUCGUUAUUUGAACAAUAGAAACCUUGACAACAUUGUUCAGCCUCGGUUUCUGUGCUGCAGUUGCAACAAACAUUUUACGCUUGCUAGCUGUCAAUAUCAAAUCUACAUUACAAGAAAGAGGAAGAGCUCAGUCUCAGAAGUAGGGUUCAAUAAUAUUAAAUGCCAAAACAACCUCAGAGGAAUAUGAAUCCAAUCAUAAUAUGUAUAUAUUAUAACAACCCAUCUGAGAAUUUAGCAUAUUGCAGAUAGAGUGAAAAUUUUAUUGCAUUAGAGGCUCUUUCAGGGUUUACUGAAUGAUUGUAGAUCACGGUAACGAUCUUGCACUAAGACAAAACUAAAAGCUACAGAAUAUAAAGAAUCAUAAUCAAGUUGAUUAUGCCUCA
This is a long non-coding RNA of Cryptomeria japonica (Japanese cedar), 2060 nucleotides long. RefSeq lists it as uncharacterized. Lineage: Eukaryota; Viridiplantae; Streptophyta; Pinopsida; Cupressales; Cupressaceae. The record is from RefSeq and is a predicted model, not a curated record. The transcript is spliced from 3 exons.